UUUCUUAGCACAUAGCCAACCUACAAACACCCACUAAGAAGAAGAAACACCAAACAAAAUAUGGCAGCCUCACUGCAAGCAGCAGCUACACUUAUGCAACCAACUAAGGUUGGCGGUGUUCCUUCUUCCAGGGCUACCCUUCAACUUAGAUCUUCUCAAAGUGUUUCCAAGGCUUUUGGGUUGGAGCCAGCUAGUGCUAGGAUCACUUGCUCUUUGCAAUCCGACCUUAAGGAUUUGGCUCAAAAGUGUGUUGAUGCUACUAAGAUUGCUGGUUUUGCUCUUGCUACUUCUGCUCUCGUCGUCUCGGUAUGUUCUUUCUUUUUUCCCAAUUCAUGAUUGUUAGUCUCUCAGGUUCAGCUACUUUGAGUAGUUUAAUGAACUUGAUCACUAAAUUCGAGGAGAAUUAUGUAUGAUUUACUAAUGCUUAACAUGUUAGAACUUUCUUUGGUUUGUAAUAUGCUGUAGUACUAUAAUUCUGUCACUACUGUAAAUUAAUAUAUGUUAUCAGUAGUUGAGUUCCCAUAACUAUCUUCAAUCAAUUUUCAGAAAUAUGUUACUCGAAUAUAACAUAGUCCUAUAACAUAGACAUGGGUUCAGAGACAACGUACGAAUGUUCUCUCAUAAUGCAUUUCGUGUAGACUAUCUAACAACCUGUUAUCUGUGGUGUGGCCAUUGAAAAUCAUUGCUAAUAAUUCGCCAUUUAGCAGAUAGCAGUUUAUAUUGUUAAUUUAUACGGUGAGACCUUGUGCAAUUAAGCAAGAACAAACUACCCUCUGUCGUGCAUCAUUUUUCCCUCAACUAUUAAACAUUAAUAAUUGUUAGUUAUUAACAUCGAAACCUAUUAAUGGACACUUGCGUAAUUCAGGGAGCAAGUGCUGAGGGAGUUCCAAAGAGGCUAACCUUUGAUGAAAUCCAAAGCAAAACAUACAUGGAAGUUAAAGGAACAGGAACGGCUAACCAGUGCCCAACAAUUGAUGGUGGACUAGACAAAUUUUCAUUCAAAGCAGGCAAAUACAAUGCAAAGAAAUUCUGCCUAGAGCCAACCUCAUUCACAGUCAAAGCAGAAAGUGUAAACAAGAAUGCACCACCUGAAUUCCAAAACACUAAACUAAUGACACGUUUAACCUACACUCUCGACGAAAUUGAAGGACCCUUCGAAGUCGGUCCUGAUGGAACUGUCAAAUUUGAAGAGAAAGAUGGUAUUGAUUAUGCUGCUGUGACAGUGCA
Molecule: long non-coding RNA, 1227 nt
Filed under: Ricinus communis (castor bean)
Lineage: Eukaryota; Viridiplantae; Streptophyta; Magnoliopsida; Malpighiales; Euphorbiaceae
Description: long non-coding RNA (RCOM_LNC001490)
Source: RNAcentral